ACACCCAGACACACUGUCUCUUCCUUCCGUGUGUGUUGACAGAUGUGACAGGAGAGCCAUCCUGACCUGCGUCUCUGGUGGAGGGUGCACAACAUCAGCUGCAUGCAGGGAGUGGUCUGCGAGGCUGGGGCUAGGAAUGGGAUCGUCUCCCUGUGGUAUUGCUGCUUUGAGCUUCAUCUAUGCGUGUGUCCCAUGAGCAAACUAAACAAAUGGAAGGCUUCUGCUAAGCUUCGACUCUCACAAAACUCAGCUCCUUGCCUCCAACGAAUCAACAGCCACAAACCCCGUGCAGGCUGGCAUUGGAAAAAAACUCGGCUGAACUUCUCUGGUGUUGCAGUUUGA
RNAcentral lists this long non-coding RNA (342 nucleotides) under Anas platyrhynchos (mallard). RNAcentral's name for it is "lncRNA (ENSAPLG00020008967.1)". Lineage: Eukaryota; Metazoa; Chordata; Aves; Anseriformes; Anatidae. The record is from RNAcentral.